CGACAGUUACAUUAAGGGUGAGAGCACCGGAUUGAAGCUCCGGGGAGACUGGUUCAACUCCAGUACCGCCCACUA
RNAcentral lists this transfer RNA (75 nucleotides) under Lachnospiraceae bacterium XBB2008. Its description in RNAcentral is "tRNA_Pseudo_GAA". Lineage: Bacteria; Bacillati; Bacillota; Clostridia; Lachnospirales; Lachnospiraceae. The record is from RNAcentral.